RNAcentral lists this ribosomal RNA (454 nucleotides) under Neoscona tianmenensis. RNAcentral's name for it is "partial 16S ribosomal RNA". It matches the Rfam family "Bacterial large subunit ribosomal RNA", at positions 1893 to 2624 of the family's 2925-position model. Lineage: Eukaryota; Metazoa; Arthropoda; Arachnida; Araneae; Araneidae. The record is from RNAcentral.
UNCUUNUAGUAUCCUGCUCAUGAACAUUUUCAUAGCCGCGGAAAUUUAACCGUGCUAAGGUAGCAUAAUCAUUAGCCUCUUAAUUAGAGGCUCGUAUGAAUGGUAAAACAUUUCAAUUUCUAUAACAAUUAUUAAAUUUUAAUUUUAAUUAAGAAUUAAAAUGUUCUUAUAUAUUAAAUAGACGACAAGACCCUUUUGAACUUAACUUUAGUUAAGCUGGGGCAGCUAAUAAAUAAUUAUCUUCAUUUUCUUAAUUUAAUAAACGACCCAAUAAAAUUGAUUUUUUGAACAAGUUACCAUAGGGAUAACAGCGUAAUAUUUUUCUAAAGUUCGUAUUUAAAAAAAUGAUUGCGACCUCGAUGUUGAAUUAAUGUAACUUUAUAAAUGCAAUAAUUUUAAAAGUAGGUCUGUUCGACCUUUAAAUCAUUACAUGAUCUGAGCAAAACCCCGGAGA